RNAcentral lists this ribosomal RNA (206 nucleotides) under uncultured bacterium. RNAcentral's name for it is "partial 16S ribosomal RNA". It matches the Rfam family "Bacterial small subunit ribosomal RNA", at positions 568 to 774 of the family's 1533-position model. The record is from RNAcentral.
UGCGUAGGUGGUUUCUUAAGUCAGAGGUGAAAGGCUACGGCUCAACCGUAGUAAGCCUUUGAAACUGGGAAACUUGAGUGCAGGAGAGGAGAGUGGAAUUCCUAGUGUAGCGGUGAAAUGCGUAGAUAUUAGGAGGAACACCAGUUGCGAAGGCGGCUCUCUGGACUGUAACUGACACUGAGGCACGAAAGCGCGGGGAGCAAACA